ANUUCCCNCGUCUCGGCAGGCCUAACACAUGCCAAGUCUAGCGGAAACGACACNAUCNAAUCUUCGGAUGAUUUGUUGGGCGUCGAGCGGCGGACGGGUGAGUAAUGCCUAGGAAAUUGCCUUGAUGUGGGGGAUAACCAUUGGAAACGAUGGCUAAUACCGCAUAAUGCCUACGGGCCAAAGAGGGGGAUCUUCGGACCUCUCGCGUCAAGNUAUGCCUAGGUGGGAUUAGCUAGUUGGUGAGGUAAUGGCUCACCAAGGCGACGAUCCCUAGCUGGUCUGAGAGGAUGAUCAGCCACACUGGAACUGAGCACACGGUCCAGACUCCUACGGGAGGCAGCAGUGGGGAAUAUUGCACAAUGGGCGCAAGCCUGAUGCAGCCAUGCCGCGUGUAUGAAGAAGGCCUUCGGGUUGUAAAGUACUUUCAGUUGUGAGGAAGGGGGUAACGUUAAUAGCGUUAUCUCUUGAACGUUAGCAACAGAAGAAGCACCGGCUAACUCCGUGCCAGCAGCCGCGGUAAUACGGAGGGUGCGAGCGUUAAUCGGAAUUACUGGGCGUAAAGCGCAUGCAGGUGGUUCAUUAAGUCAGAUGUGAAAGCCCGGGGCUCAACCUCGGAACUGCAUUUGAAACUGGUGAACUAAAGUGCUGUAGAGGGGGGUAGAAUUUCAGGUGUAGCGGUGAAAUGCGUAGAGAUCUGAAGGAAUACCAGUGGCGAAGGCGGCCCCCUGGAACAGACACUGACACUCAGAUGCNAAAGCGUGGGGAGCAAACAGGAUUANAUACCCUGGUANUCACGCCGUAACNAUGUCUACUUGGAGGUUGUGGCCUUAANCCGUGGCUUCGNANCUAACGCNUNAUUAAACCNCUGGGGAUUCNGNCNCAAAAUAAACUCAAUNANUNACGGGGCCCCCCAACNGUGNANAUNUUNUUANUCNAUNCACCNA
Molecule: ribosomal RNA, 944 nt
Filed under: Vibrio splendidus
Lineage: Bacteria; Pseudomonadati; Pseudomonadota; Gammaproteobacteria; Vibrionales; Vibrionaceae
Description: partial 16S ribosomal RNA
Rfam family: Bacterial small subunit ribosomal RNA
Source: RNAcentral